RNAcentral lists this ribosomal RNA (816 nucleotides) under uncultured bacterium. RNAcentral's name for it is "bacterial SSU rRNA". It matches the Rfam family "Bacterial small subunit ribosomal RNA", at positions 8 to 796 of the family's 1533-position model. The record is from RNAcentral.
AGAGUUUGAUCAUGGCUCAGAUUGAACGCUGGCGGCGUGCCUAACACAUGCAAGUCGCACGAGAAAGUUUCAGCUUGCUGAAGCUAGUAAAGUGGCGCACGGGUGAGUAACGCGUGGGUAAUCUACCUCCGAAUCGGGGAUAACAUUGCGAAAGCGAUGCUAAUACCGGAUAAUAUCUCAUGAGCCGCGGUUUUUGAGAUCAAAGGUGGCCUCUGCUUGGAAGCUACUGUUUGGAGAUGAGCCCGCGUACCAUUAGCUUGUUGGUAGGGUAAUGGCCUACCAAGGCGACGAUGGUUAGCUGGUCUGAGAGGAUGAUCAGCCACACUGGAACUGAAACACGGUCCAGACUCCUACGGGAGGCAGCAGUGAGGAAUUUUGCGCAAUGGGGGAAACCCUGACGCAGCAACGCCGCGUGAGUGAUGAAGGCCUUCGGGUCGUAAAGCUCUGUCAAGUGGGAAGAACCCGCCCUGUGCUAAUAUCACCGGGCAUUGACGGUACCACUGAAGGAAGCACCGGCUAACUCCGUGCCAGCAGCCGCGGUAACACGGAGGGUGCAAGCGUUAUUCGGAAUCACUGGGCGUAAAGAGCGCGUAGGCGGUUUCUUAAGUCAGAUGUGAAAGCCCGGGGCUCAACCCCGGAAGUGCAUUUGAAACUAAGGGACUUGAGUAUGGGAGAGGGAAGUGGAAUUCCUGGUGUAGCGGUGAAAUGCGUAGAUAUCAGGAGGAACACCGGUGGCGAUGGCGACUUCCUGGACCAAUACUGACGCUGAGGCGCGAAGGCGUGGGGAGCAAACAGGAUUAGAUACCCUAGUAGUCC